Molecule: long non-coding RNA, 754 nt
Organism: Triticum aestivum (bread wheat)
Lineage: Eukaryota; Viridiplantae; Streptophyta; Magnoliopsida; Poales; Poaceae
Exons: 3
Source: RefSeq, a predicted model, not a curated record
GUAACCACCCCAAGUCCCCAAUCCAUCCGGAACGGACCUAAAUAUCAGGGGAGACCGGGAGAGGGACGCGUUUGCACCGAGGGCGACCGGUGUGGGUGUAGGUGUGGGUGUGGCCGUCUCCUUCCAGAUCCCCCAGCCUGCUCCUCCUCUACCCUCAAACCCCCUUUCUACUCUCGAACCCUAAAUUCGAGCCUAACACCGUGCGCGCGCGAAGCAAUCUCCUCGAGGUCUCCGCCGAAGGAUCGUCCGAUAACCAGGGAUAUAAGCAAUCGGUGGAUUCUGUCGUUCCGAGUGGAUUGGUUGAAGGAAAAGUCUUCUUCUCAAUAGCAUGGGUUCCCUUUGCAGCGCCGGGCACAAUGAUGCUAGCAACGAGCGGAGCAUGGGAGGUCUUCGCAGAGUUACCCGUGAAAGAUCAGUUAGAGUGCAGUUUGGCAACGAGCAGAGCAUGGGAGGUUUUCCCAGAUUUACCCGUGAAAGAUCGGUUAGAGUGCAGCCUGGUGUGGACUGCUAUUCUCCGGAUAGAGCAACAAAGGACACCAGUCUACAACUUGAGCCACGUGUUCAGCCCGGAGGGGCCUUUUUCUUAGAACACAAAAGUUCUGUGGAUCGAGGUUAACCAGGGGGCUUUCUCGCGACUUAUAAGCAACCGCUGGUUUUUUCCCCUCCUGUGUGUUGUUCCAUUCUAUAGGGAUUUUGCAGUUUGUUUUACGCUGAUCAGUGAUAUUACGACUUUAAGAGGUGGUUUGGUUGUAUA